UAGUCCACGCCCUAAACGAUGCUUACUUGAUAUUCCGGCUUUAUGUUGGAGUGUCCAAGGGAAACCGAUAAGUAAGCCACCUUGGGAGUACGUCGGCAACGAUGAAACUCAAAGGAAUUGACGGGGGCCCGCACAAGCGGAGGAACAUGUGGUUUAAUUCGAUGAUACGCGAGGAACCUUACCUAGGCUAGAAUGUGAGCGCUAUUUGCCGAAAGGCGAAGUUCCUUCGGGACGUGAAACAAGGUGCUGCAUGGUUGUCGUCAGCUCGUGCCGUGAGGUGUUGGGUUAAGUCCCGCAACGAGCGCAACCCCUAUCGCUAGUUGCCAGCAUUAAGUUGGGGACUCUAGCGAGACUGCCGGCGCAAGCCGAGAGGAAGGUGGGGAUGACGUCAAAUCAUCAUGGCCUUUAUGCCUAGGGCGACACACGUGCUACAAUGGUCAGGACAAAGGGUAGCCAAACCGCGAGGUGGAGCCAAUCUCAAAAAGCCGUUACUCAGUUCGGAUUGGAGUCUGCAACUCGA
This 520-nucleotide ribosomal RNA is filed under the name uncultured bacterium. Its description in RNAcentral is "bacterial SSU rRNA". It matches the Rfam family "Bacterial small subunit ribosomal RNA", at positions 791 to 1315 of the family's 1533-position model. The record is from RNAcentral.